CGUCACGAGAGGUUCGAUCCUGGCUCAGAACGAACGCUGGCGGCAGGCCUAACACAUGCAAGUCGAGCGCGCCCUUCGGGGUGAGCGGCGGACGGGUUAGUAACGCGUGGGAACGUACCCUUUGGUAGGGAAUAGCCACUGGAAACGGUGAGUAAUACCCUAUGAGCCCUUCGGGGGAAAGAUUUAUCGCCAAAGGAUCGGCCCGCGUUAGAUUAGGUAGUUGGUGGGGUAAUGGCCUACCAAGCCUACGAUCUAUAGCUGGUUUUAGAGGAUGAUCAGCAACACUGGGACUGAGACACGGCCCAGACUCCUACGGGAGGCAGCAGUGGGGAAUCUUGGACAAUGGGGGCAACCCUGAUCCAAGCCAUGCCGCGUGAGUGAAGAAGGCCUUAGGGUCGUAAAGCUCUUUCGCCUGUGAAGAUAAUGACGGUAGCAGGUAAAGAAACCCCGGCUAACUCCGUGCCAGCAGCUGC
Molecule: ribosomal RNA, 473 nt
Filed under: uncultured bacterium
Lineage: Bacteria
Description: bacterial SSU rRNA
Rfam family: Bacterial small subunit ribosomal RNA
Source: RNAcentral